Molecule: ribosomal RNA, 301 nt
Filed under: uncultured bacterium
Lineage: Bacteria
Description: partial 16S ribosomal RNA
Rfam family: Bacterial small subunit ribosomal RNA
Source: RNAcentral
CAGUCGCCGCGGUAAUACGGAGGGUGCAAUCGUUAUCCGGAUUUAUUGGGUUUAAAGGGUCCGUAGGCGGACUUAUAAGUCAGUGGUGAAAGCCUGUCGCUUAACGAUAGAACUGCCAUUGAUACUGUAAGUCUUGAGUAUAUUUGAGGUAGCUGGAAUAAGUAGUGUAGCGGUGAAAUGCAUAGAUAUUACUUAGAACACCAAUUGCGAAGGCAGGUUACCAAGAUAUAACUGACGCUGAGGGACGAAAGCGUGGGUAGCGAACAGGAUUAGAUACCCGCGUAGUCCCUGUCUCUUAUAC